RNAcentral lists this ribosomal RNA (253 nucleotides) under uncultured bacterium. RNAcentral's name for it is "partial 16S ribosomal RNA". It matches the Rfam family "Bacterial small subunit ribosomal RNA", at positions 524 to 776 of the family's 1533-position model. The record is from RNAcentral.
UACGGAGGGUGCAAGCGUUAUCCGGAUUUACUGGGUUUAAAGGGUGUGUAGGCGGGUCUUUAAGUCAGUGGUGAAAUCUCCGAGCUCAACUUGGAAACUGCCAUUGAUACUAUUGAUCUUGAAUUCCGUUGAGGUUGGCGGAAUAAGUCAUGUAGCGGUGAAAUGCAUAGAUAUGACUUAGAACACCGAUUGCGAAGGCAGCUAACUAAACAGAUAUUGACGCUGAGGCACGAAAGCGUGGGGAUCAAACAGG